GCGGCAGUAGCUCAGUGGUAGAGCCUCUGCUUCGCAUACGGCGAGAUCUGGGUUCGAUUCCCGGCUGCUUCC
RNAcentral lists this transfer RNA (72 nucleotides) under Toxocara canis (dog roundworm). It matches the Rfam family "tRNA". From Rfam's summary of the family: Transfer RNA (tRNA) molecules are approximately 80 nucleotides in length. Their secondary structure includes four short double-helical elements and three loops (D, anti-codon, and T loops). Lineage: Eukaryota; Metazoa; Nematoda; Chromadorea; Rhabditida; Toxocaridae. The record is from Rfam by way of RNAcentral.